This 468-nucleotide ribosomal RNA is filed under the name uncultured bacterium. RNAcentral's name for it is "partial 16S ribosomal RNA". It matches the Rfam family "Bacterial small subunit ribosomal RNA", at positions 28 to 507 of the family's 1533-position model. The record is from RNAcentral.
GACGAACGCUGGCGGCGUGCUUAACACAUACAAGUCGAACGGAAAGGCCCUGCUUUUGUGGGGUGCUCGAGUGGCGAACGGGUGAGUAACACGUGAGUAACCUGCCCUUGACUUUGGGAUAGCUUCAGGAAACUGGGGCUAAUACCGGAUAGGAGCUCCUGCUGCAUGGUGGGGGUUGGAAAGUUUCGGCGGUUGGGGAUGGACUCGCGGCUUAUCAGCUUGUUGGUGGGGUAGUGGCUUACCAAGGCUUUGACGGGUAGCCGGCCUGAGAGGGUGACCGGCCACAUUGGGACUGAGAUACGGCCCAGACUCCUACGGGAGGCAGCAGUGGGGAAUAUUGCACAAUGGGCGGAAGCCUGAUGCAGCAACGCCGCGUGCGGGAUGACGGCCUUCGGGUUGUAAACCGCUUUCGCCUGUGACGAAGCGUGAGUGACGGUAAUGGGUAAAGAAGCACCGGCUAACUACGUG